AGUGAACGCUGGCGGUAGGCCUAACACAUGCAAGUCGAACGGCAGCGCAGUAAGAGCUUGCUCUUACGGGUGGCGAGUGGCGGACGGGUGAGGAAUACAUCGGAAUCUACUUUUUCGUGGGGGAUAACGUAGGGAAACUUACGCUAAUACCGCAUACGACCUACGGGUGAAAGCAGGGGAUCUUCGGACCUUGCGCGAUUGAAUGGGCCGAUGUCGGAUUAGCUAGUUGGCGGGGUAAAGGCCCACCAAGGCGACGAUCCGUAGCUGGUCUGAGAGGAUGAUCAGCCACACUGGAACUGAGACACGGUCCAGACUCCUACGGGAGGCAGCAGUGGGGAAUAUUGGACAAUGGGCGCAAGCCUGAUCCAGCCAUACCGCGUGGGUGAAGAAGGCCUUCGGGUUGUAAAGCCCUUUUGUUGGGAAAGAAAAGCAGCAGGUUAAUACCCCGCUGUUCUGACGGUACCCAAAGAAUAAGCACCGGCUAACUUCGUG
This 492-nucleotide ribosomal RNA is filed under the name uncultured bacterium. RNAcentral describes it as "partial 16S ribosomal RNA". It matches the Rfam family "Bacterial small subunit ribosomal RNA", at positions 29 to 507 of the family's 1533-position model. The record is from RNAcentral.